This is a long non-coding RNA of Mauremys reevesii (Reeves's turtle), 598 nucleotides long. RefSeq lists it as uncharacterized. Lineage: Eukaryota; Metazoa; Chordata; Testudines; Geoemydidae. The record is from RefSeq and is a predicted model, not a curated record. The transcript has 3 exons.
GUGGUAGAUACGCUGGAGGCAACAGACCUAGGACAGGAGUGACUCCACAAUGAAAAGCACCCAGAGAGGAACAUUCUCCUCCCUUCUCCCAGCAAGAGGCAAAGUGGAGCCCUCCCUCCUCUGUUUCCAGGACCUCGCUCACCAGCUGCACUUUCUAAACCUGGGAGCUAUGAAGCCCUGAUCCAGGGAUCAGUUCCUAUUCUCCCCCUCUCCUCCCUCCCAGCAGGAAGGAAGGCAAGGCCACCUCCCCCUCUGACAGGCUUCAGCACCUCUUCAAGACAUGAGCUAGCCCUUUAUGCUAACCAUAAAUAGCUUAACAGCGACACUUAAAAACUGUAAAUACUUGGGAGGUGCUUAUGUUCUAUGGUGAUGGAGAUGACAUCUGUGUUGCCAACUCUCAGGAUUUGAUUGCAAGUCUUGCGAUAUCUGGUGUUUUUCUUCAAGCCUCAGCACAGAGUCAGGUAUGCAGAUCCUUACCUCGAAAUUCUAGCCCUCUGAGCUGGAAAGUGACGAGGCCAUUUCCAAUUUCGAUCAAGUGAACAAAGGCAUUUAAAUAAUCCGAAGCCAGAAUAAAACAGUCUCCUGAACUGUAGUUUCC